This 655-nucleotide ribosomal RNA is filed under the name uncultured bacterium. Its description in RNAcentral is "bacterial SSU rRNA". It matches the Rfam family "Bacterial small subunit ribosomal RNA", at positions 94 to 743 of the family's 1533-position model. The record is from RNAcentral.
AGCGGCGGACGGGUGAGUAACGCGUAGGAAUCUGCCCGGUAAUGGGGGAUAGCCCGGAGAAAUCCGGAUUAAUACCGCAUACGCCCUAUGGGGGAAAGGUGGCCUCUUCUUGAACGCUACCGUUAUCGGAUGAGCCUGCGUCGGAUUAGCUAGUUGGUGGGGUAAAGGCCUACCAAGGCGACGAUCCGUAGCUGGUCUGAGAGGAUGAUCAGCCACACUGGGACUGAGACACGGCCCAGACUCCUACGGGAGGCAGCAGUGGGGAAUAUUGGACAAUGGGCGCAAGCCUGAUCCAGCCAUGCCGCGUGUGUGAAGAAGGCUUUCGGGUUGUAAAGCACUUUCAGCGGGGAGGAAAGGUUGCUGGUUAAUACCCAGCAGCUGUGACGUUACCCGCAGAAGAAGCACCGGCUAACUCCGUGCCAGCAGCCGCGGUAAUACGGAGGGUGCGAGCGUUAAUCGGAAUUACUGGGCGUAAAGCGUGCGUAGGCGGUGAUCUAAGUGGGAUGUGAAAGCCCCGGGCUCAACCUGGGAACUGCACCCCAAACUGGGUCGCUAGAGUACAGCAGAGGAGUGUGGAAUUUCCUGUGUAGCGGUGAAAUGCGUAGAUAUAGGAAGGAACACCAGUGGCGAAGGCGACACUCUGGGCUGAUACUGA